UCACUUUAGGAUCUUGUCAAGCAAAUGGCUGUGAAUAAUCUUCAAUUUCAACAACGAACAAAUUCUAGUAUUCAGACUUUGCAAACACAAAUUGGAUAGCUUGCCACUUCAAUGAAUGCCAUGCAAAAAGCUCAAGGAUUGAACCAACUACCUGCCCAAACAAUAGUUAAUCCAAAGGGCCCUAAUGUGAGUGCAAUUUCCUUAAGGACCGAAAAAGUUG
RNAcentral lists this long non-coding RNA (220 nucleotides) under Lathyrus oleraceus (garden pea). Its description in RNAcentral is "Pisum sativum (pea) long non-coding RNA (PSAT_LNC026888)". Lineage: Eukaryota; Viridiplantae; Streptophyta; Magnoliopsida; Fabales; Fabaceae. The record is from RNAcentral.